UGGGGAAUAUUGCACAAUGGGGGAAACCCUGAUGCAGCGACGCCGCGUGAACGAAGAAGGUAUUCGUAUCGUAAAGUUCUGUCCUAUGGGAAGAUAAUGACAGUACCAUAGAAGAAAGCUCCGGCUAAAUACGUGCCAGCAGCCGCGGUAAUAAGUAUGGAGCGAGCGUUGUCCGGAAUUAUUGGGCGUAAAGGGUACGCAGGCGGUUUAAUAAGUCGAAUGUUAAAGAUCGGGGCUCAACCCCGUAAAGCAUUGGAAACUGAUAAACUUGAGUAGUGGAGAGGAAAGUGGAAUUCCUAGUGUAGUGGUGAAAUACGUAGAUAUUAGGAGGAAUACCAGUAGCGAAGGCGACUUUCUGGACACAAACUGACGCUGAGGUACGAAAGCGUGGGGAGCAAACAGG
Molecule: ribosomal RNA, 403 nt
Filed under: bacterium
Lineage: Bacteria
Description: partial 16S ribosomal RNA
Rfam family: Bacterial small subunit ribosomal RNA
Source: RNAcentral